This 634-nucleotide ribosomal RNA is filed under the name uncultured Marinobacter sp. Its description in RNAcentral is "bacterial SSU rRNA". It matches the Rfam family "Bacterial small subunit ribosomal RNA", at positions 870 to 1504 of the family's 1533-position model. Lineage: Bacteria; Pseudomonadati; Pseudomonadota; Gammaproteobacteria; Pseudomonadales; Marinobacteraceae. The record is from RNAcentral.
CGCCUGGGGAGUACGGCCGCAAGGUUAAAACUCAAAUGAAUUGACGGGGGCCCGCACAAGCGGUGGAGCAUGUGGUUUAAUUCGACGCAACGCGAAGAACCUUACCUGGCCUUGACAUGCAGAGAACUUUCCAGAGAUGGAUUGGUGCCUUCGGGAACUCUGACACAGGUGCUGCAUGGCCGUCGUCAGCUCGUGUCGUGAGAUGUUGGGUUAAGUCCCGUAACGAGCGCAACCCCUAUCCCUAGUUGCUAGCAGUUCGGCUGAGAACUCUAGGGAGACUGCCGGUGACAAACCGGAGGAAGGUGGGGAUGACGUCAGGUCAUCAUGGCCCUUACGGCCAGGGCUACACACGUGCUACGAUGGUGCGCACAGAGGGCUGCAAACCCGCGAGGGGGAGCCAAUCUCACAAAACGCAUCGUAGUCCGGAUCGCAGUCUGCAACUCGACUGCGUGAAGUCGGAAUCGCUAGUAAUCGUGAAUCAGAAUGUCACGGUGAAUACGUUCCCGGGCCUUGUACACACCGCCCGUCACACCAUGGGAGUGGAUUGCACCAGAAGUGGUUAGUCUAACCUUCGGGAGGACGAUCACCACGGUGUGGUUCAUGACUGGGGUGAAGUCGUAACAAGGUAACCGUA